This 282-nucleotide long non-coding RNA is filed under the name Zostera marina. Its description in RNAcentral is "long non-coding RNA (ZMAR_LNC005842)". The record is from RNAcentral. Lineage: Eukaryota; Viridiplantae; Streptophyta; Magnoliopsida; Alismatales; Zosteraceae.
CUUCUCUUUCCUAUAAAUAGCCCACUCGACUCUUCAACUUCUCAUAUCAUCCCCCCUUCCGCCAUGAGUGUUCAAGACAUCCUCGAGGAGUACGGUCGCGAAGUGCAGCUUCAGCACGCCGCCUGGGCCAUGUGCCUGAUGUCGCCCGCCGGUGUCCCUAACAGCGUGGCCGUGGCCGAGACUCAACGUCUCAACGCCGUGUUGAUCGACGUCCAUCGUCGCCUCUCCCAGGUUCGCCGCUCCGACCUUCUCACGGGCCAUCCUGCCGUCGCCUACCCCGGU